UUAAAAUGAGUACAAGAUAAGAGAGAAGAGGGUGUUUCUUUGGGGUAGUUUAAACUCUGCAAUUAGCUUAAGGAGGCCUUGGCAACGAAAAAAGAUAGCAACACUAGUGUGGAACCAUGCAUGGAAACGAAGUAACUUAAAUACUGAUGAAUAAGAGCCUACUGGGUUUUGCGGCGGGAGGAAAACUUGUAUAGGCUUAUGGAAAGAUCUUUUUACCUUUACA
Actinia tenebrosa (Australian red waratah sea anemone) is the source of this 223-nucleotide long non-coding RNA. RefSeq lists it as uncharacterized. The record is from RefSeq and is a predicted model, not a curated record. NCBI's taxonomy places the organism in Eukaryota, Metazoa, Cnidaria, Anthozoa, Actiniaria, Actiniidae.